UUUCCAAUGAACUUAACACCACCAACAACAACAACAAACCCAUCAUUGAAAACACCAAUGAGAGGGUUGAUCCUUGGAAAGUGAAGAGGUUUUGUUGCAUGCCAAGAAGGGUGCAUGAUAGUGGUGUAACAAAACAUAGGUGCAGUGAUGAAGAAGAAACCAUUAGUUCCUAUGAAAGAAGUGUUGGGUUGGUUUUGGUUUUGGUUUGGAGUAGUGGUGAGGAAAGGAGUGAGUUGGAACCAAGAAUUGGAAGUUGGGUCAAAAGCAAAGGAUUGGUUGUUUUUGGAGGAUAUGUUGUGGAUGCCAUGGAGGAAGAACCAUGGCUUAUGGUGGUGGUUGGUGGUAGUGGUGGUGGAGAAGGAGAAGGAGGAGAUUAUAGAGUGCCAUAGUUUGCAAACAAUGGAGGAUUUGAUGAGUGUAGAGAUUGGGAGAAAGGAGAGGAUUAAUUCUAUGAGGUCUGAACUUAGAUGGGUGAUAUGCGUUGUCAUGAAUGGAAGAUGGGAGAGACAAAGAGAGAAGAAGUCUUGUUGUAAAAUAGGGAUAUGGAUGGAAGAGAGAAGAAGUAUGAAGAUCAACGGUCCCAAGUCGUCAUCUAUUUCAUGUAUCAAGUCGAUGAGAGUGUUUUAUUUUAUUACUUUUUGCUUUUAAAUUUUUUUAUUUUAUACACGAGUUAAUAUAUGAUUAGUUUGAGACAUGAAAUUAGAUACCAUUAGUGAUAAGUAAUCCCCAUAAAAGAAUUUUUUUUAGAAGCAAUUACAUUUUUGUUGGCUUAGGACAAAUAAUAAGAUAUCAUUUAAGACAAUCGAUCUCUAUCCCUAGAUGAGUUGGUCAAAUUCAUCUAUCAUUAAUGUAUAAGUAAUACUAAUGUUAGAGAAAAAAAGUUUUUUCUAUUUUACUAUUCAUUUCAUUUCUAAUUAUUAUUGAUUCUUAAAUAAAAGUAAUACAAAUAAAUAUUAUAUAACAUAAUAUAAUAUUAUAUAUAUAAAUAUUUACAUUAAUCGUCCAUAAAUAUUAUCCUGUGAUAGCACAAUGAUGUUUUCUCAUGGGUGGGUUAAAUACCUCUCAUGGUACAUUAUUCUUUGUUAUUAGGGAUUUGUUAACUAACUUUUAUGAACAUGUUUACCGAUUAUUAUUAUUAUUAAUUGGUAUCUAAAACAACCCAAAAUUAAAGUCGAUCUUAAAAUACAUAAAACAUUGAAUCUUACUGUAAAAUAUAUGAAUUCUUAAAGUAGACUUUGAAUUUUAUGGUUGCUUAAAUAUUGUCCUAAGGAGAAUGAUUAGUAAAGUUGUUUAUAUUAUUAUUAUUAUUAUUAUUAUUUAUCUAUGCAAUAGGUAUAUCUUUAUAAAAUACAAUCUUUACCGAGUGGGGAACAUCUACAAUAUGGUGAGGAUAGCUCUCCUAACAAAAUAUUUAGAGAUAUAAUAAUUUAGAGUGUAUUUAGCCAGGCAUGGAAGAGGGUUAUAAGUCAAUUCACCAAUUUAUCUAACUAAAAGUUAAGUCUAGAGUCCUACUAAGUUAAAUGAUAUCCUAGGACAAAUUUUUAAUAGAUAGACUUUAUUAAUAUAGUGGGAGACUUUAUAUUUAAGAGUUUAAAAUAUGUGCAUUGAUAGUGUAAAGUUUUUUACACUAUCAGUAUAUCACCAACCGUUGAUUUGUUUUACUUUUGUUGUUUUAGAGUCAAUGGUAGGUGAUCUACUGACAGUGGUGUAUACAUAUUAAAUCAUAUAUUUAAAUAUGAAUAUUAUUAAAGAUGAUGAACAUAUUAUCAUCAUAUACCCAAUAUCUUUCAUGUCAAACUAUCAAGAAAAAUAUAGAUAAAACUAAAACGGAAGUGUAUCUUAACAUAUUCAUAGAGAAUAUGGUGAAUGAAUAUUAUAGCAUCAUUUGUCAUGUAUCCAUCAACUUCAUGUUCAUUGUCCUUAUAUGUAAAUGCAUGUUCAUAUAGAACAUGUAGGUUCUUUGGUCUUCUAAUUGUAGACCACCCUUAGCCUUAGUUUCUCCUUUAAUGGGAUGAAGAAAAUGUCAUGUUUGCACGUAUGUUGUGGUUCUUGUUGUGUUGUCUAAAAGUGAGGACCAUAACCCCUAUUUAUAAGACAAUCAUUCCCUUUCAUUAAGGGUGGUGUCUUUCAAUUUUCUUAUUUCUUAAUUUUGCUCAUCAUAAAAAUAGAAAUAAGACAUUACGUAUUUAUACAAUAAUUUUCAUGACAAUUAUGUUAUAACCCUAUACCUUACUUAAAAUAGACAACUUUAAUAUGAUUACUUAAAAUAAUAAUCUUAAACACUACAUGUGUAACCCAAAAUUCCUUACGGAUAUUUCAAUAAAACUCCACGAUUAUAAAUCUUGGUUUAAGAAGCAUGUUAAAGUGACAUUUGUCUUACAAUUCCUCAACUUAUAAACUAUUCCAUGUAAUCUUUAGAUCAUGUGGCAUAGUUCCAAUUUCAUUGAAUUCCAUGGUUCUAUCAUCAAUCUUCCACAAAUUGAAGCAAGACCCAUUUCUCAAAUUGCAGAUCCCAGCCAAAACAAGUUGUUUCCUACAAGAAACUAAGAAUGAAAACACAACCCCAUGUGGCCUAAGUGUAUGAACAUCACUCCAAACAUGUUUCUCCAAAUCAAAAGAUGAAACAAAACAAGAGUAUAUCCCAAAAACAUAAAACUUUUUCUUAAACAAAGCAGAAGACAAUGAAGAAGAAGAGUUUCCUGAUCUGAAAUCACCCGGUAGUGGAGGACAAAGCUUCCAAGAACCCAAACUAGGGUCAUAUAUCUCAACAUCCAAAGGUUCCUCUAUAUCAACCAAGUUUCCAAUGAACUUAACACCACCAACAACAACAACAAACCCAUCAUUGAAAACACCAAUGAGAGGGUUGAUCCUUGGAAAGUGAAGAGGUUUUGUUGCAUGCCAAGAAGGGUGCAUGAUAGUGGUGUAACAAAACAUAGGUGCAGUGAUGAAGAAGAAACCAUUAGUUCCUAUGAAAGAAGUGUUGGGUUGGUUUUGGUUUUGGUUUGGAGUAGUGGUGAGGAAAGG
Molecule: long non-coding RNA, 3024 nt
Filed under: Lupinus angustifolius (narrow-leaved blue lupine)
Lineage: Eukaryota; Viridiplantae; Streptophyta; Magnoliopsida; Fabales; Fabaceae
Description: long non-coding RNA (LANG_LNC001300)
Source: RNAcentral